GGUUGUAGCUUAGUGGUAGAAUGCGUGCCUCACAUGUAUGAGGCACUGGGUUUGAUCCUCAGCACCA
This 67-nucleotide transfer RNA is filed under the name Marmota monax (woodchuck). RNAcentral's name for it is "tRNA.Val". Lineage: Eukaryota; Metazoa; Chordata; Mammalia; Rodentia; Sciuridae. The record is from RNAcentral.